UUUAAGGUAGGAUGCCGUUUAUUUUUUACCCAACGUUUGACCAUUCGUCUUAUUAAAAAAUUUUUAUGUAAUUAUUAUUUAUUUUAUUGUGACUUAAUUCAUCAUCAAAUAUUCUUUAAGCAUGAUAUAAAUAUUUUCAUAUUUGCACAAAAUUUUUGAAUAAAACGAAUGGUCAAACGUUGGUCGAAAAGUCAACGGUGACAUACA
Molecule: microRNA precursor, 207 nt
Organism: Oryza sativa Japonica Group (Japanese rice)
Lineage: Eukaryota; Viridiplantae; Streptophyta; Magnoliopsida; Poales; Poaceae
Rfam family: MIR812 microRNA precursor family
Source: Rfam